CUAGAAGGUGGAGAUGGAGAAGAAGUGAAAGAAUCUUAAGGUGCUAGAACUUAAGGGUUUCUUGGAGAAGGUGGACCUUUUGAUAGAGCAAGCAGAGAUUGUUAGUAAUGCUAUAGUGAAAUCUGGUGCCAAUUAAGAUACAUGGCAUGGUUGCAGUUACUAGAUGGUAACAAGCAUUUGUGUUGUGUAUAUGUCAUUGGCAUAAAUUUUAGGCUUCUUAAACUUGUGGAUGAGGAUGUAAGAGAUCUACUCGUGGCUGCGAGCUUUGUACUUGCUGCUUCUGAAGCAGUUGCAGACAGAAGAUCUUCUUCUCAAAGAAAGUGGUGGGAGGCUUAUGGAAGAUUGUACAAAAAGGUAUAAGAUGAAUGGUGGUGUGAACCAGGCCAUGGGGAUUGGUGUACUUUUUUGGAGAAGUAUACACUCUAUCGUGAUG
This is a long non-coding RNA of Cynara cardunculus var. scolymus (artichoke), 433 nucleotides long. RefSeq lists it as uncharacterized. The transcript has 4 exons. Lineage: Eukaryota; Viridiplantae; Streptophyta; Magnoliopsida; Asterales; Asteraceae. The record is from RefSeq and is a predicted model, not a curated record.